CCUACGGGGGGCAGCAGUCGAGAAUCAUUCACAAUGGGGGAAACCCUGAUGGUGCGACGCCGCGUGGGGGAAUGAAGGUCUUCGGAUUGUAAACCCCUGUCAUGUGGGAGCAAAUUAAAAAGAUAGUACCACAAGAGGAAGAGACGGCUAACUCUGUGACAGCAGCCGCGGUAAUACAGAGGUCUCAAGCGUUGUUCGGAAUCACUGGGCGUAAGGCGUGCGUAGGCGGUUUCGUAAGUCGUGUGUGAAAGGCGCGGGCUCAACCCGCGGACGGCACAUGAUACUGGGCAACUAGAGUCAUGGAGGGGGAAGCGGAAUGCUCGGUGUAGCAGUGAAAUGCGUAGAUAUCGAGAGGAACACUCGUGGCGAAGGCGGGUUCCUGGACAUUAACUGACGCUGAGGCACGAAGGCCAGGGGAGCGAAAGGGAUUAGAUACCCUUGUAGUC
RNAcentral lists this ribosomal RNA (446 nucleotides) under uncultured bacterium. RNAcentral's name for it is "partial 16S ribosomal RNA". It matches the Rfam family "Bacterial small subunit ribosomal RNA", at positions 338 to 795 of the family's 1533-position model. The record is from RNAcentral.